This 69-nucleotide transfer RNA is filed under the name Metrius contractus. RNAcentral describes it as "tRNA-Asp". Lineage: Eukaryota; Metazoa; Arthropoda; Insecta; Coleoptera; Carabidae. The record is from RNAcentral.
AAAGAAUUAGUUAAAAUUAUAACAUUAGAAUGUCAAACUAAAAUUAUUAAAUUUAUGUAAUAUUCUUUA